GGGUUUCCUUGCACGACCGCGUCCGGAGUGGAGUGCAGUGCAGGAAAGCGCUCGGCGCAGAAGCCGCACGGACACUCGCGCGGAGCCCGGGCGCCGGGCCGCCGACGAGGGCGUUCGCUUCUGAACGUUAAGGAGAAUUUACGUUAGCAUAACCAGCCCACGGUACAGUGUGCUAAGUCAUAAAGUACAAACCCAAGGGAGUUCCUCAUGCCCCGUUCUUGUUUGCAGCAGCAGCAGCAGCAGGGCAAGUGUGCGAAGGGGACCCCAGAGGAUGUCGUACAUUGAAGAAAACCCACUACACUGAUGGACCUUAGAGAAGAAACUGAAAUGCAUGUGCAGCCAUCUCAAUGACCAAGGUCACCCAAGCAGCAGUUUGCUGUAUUAAUGACUGGAAGCUCAUGGAACCAAUUUUGAGUGCUUCUUGUAAUUGUACAUACCAAAAGUUAACUUGUAUUAAUCUCGUGAUGUCUUAAUAAAUUUAGUAUUAAAAUAUUUACACA
Molecule: long non-coding RNA, 500 nt
Organism: Fukomys damarensis (Damara mole-rat)
Lineage: Eukaryota; Metazoa; Chordata; Mammalia; Rodentia; Bathyergidae
Exons: 4
Source: RefSeq, a predicted model, not a curated record